GAUGAAGAACGCAGCGAAAUGCGAUAAGUAGUGUGAAUUGCAGAAUUCGGUGAAUCAUCGAAUCUUUGAACGCACAUUGCGCCCCUUGGUAUUCCAUGGGGCAUGCCUGUUCGAGCGUCAUUUGUACCUUCAAGCCUUGCUUGGUGUUGGGUGUUUGUCUCGCCUCUGCGCGCAGACUCGCCUCAAAACAAUUGGCAGCCGGCGUAUUGAUUUCGGAGCGCAGUACAUCUCGCGCUUUGCACUCAGAACGACGACGUCCAAAAGUACAUUUUUACACUCUUGACCUCGGAUCAGGUAGGGAUACCCGCUGAACUUAAGCAUAUCAAUAAGCGGAGGA
This 337-nucleotide unclassified non-coding RNA is filed under the name soil metagenome. RNAcentral's name for it is "partial contains 5.8S ribosomal RNA, internal transcribed spacer 2, and large subunit ribosomal RNA". The stretch from base 1 to 120 matches the Rfam family "5.8S ribosomal RNA", at positions 35 to 154 of the family's 154-position model. The record is from RNAcentral.